ACGAACGCUGGCGGCAUGCCUAACACAUGCAAGUCGAACGAGACCUUCGGGUCUAGUGGCGCACGGGUGCGUAACGCGUGGGAACCUGCCCUUAGGUUCGGAAUAACUCCCCGAAAGGGGUGCUAAUACCGGAUAAUGUCUUCGGACCAAAGAUUUAUCGCCUUUGGAUGGGCCCGCGUUGGAUUAGCUAGUUGGUAGGGUAAAAGCCUACCAAGGCGACGAUCCAUAGCUGGUCUGAGAGGAUGAUCAGCCACACUGGGACUGAGACACGGCCCAGACUCCUACGGGAGGCAGCAGUGGGAAUAUUGGACAAUGGGCGAAAGCCUGAUCCAGCAAUGCCGCGUGAGUGAUGAAGGCCUUAGGGUUGUAAAGCUCUUUUACCCGGGAUGAUAAUGACAGUACCGGGAGAAUAAGCUCCGGCUAACUCCGUG
RNAcentral lists this ribosomal RNA (431 nucleotides) under uncultured bacterium. RNAcentral describes it as "partial 16S ribosomal RNA". It matches the Rfam family "Bacterial small subunit ribosomal RNA", at positions 29 to 507 of the family's 1533-position model. The record is from RNAcentral.